RNAcentral lists this ribosomal RNA (522 nucleotides) under uncultured bacterium. RNAcentral describes it as "bacterial SSU rRNA". It matches the Rfam family "Bacterial small subunit ribosomal RNA", at positions 8 to 526 of the family's 1533-position model. The record is from RNAcentral.
AGAGUUUGAUCCUGGCUCAGGACGAACGCUGGCGGCGUGCUUAACACAUGCAAGUCGAACGGAAAGGCCCUUUCGGGGGUGCUCGAGCGGCGAACGGGUGAGUAACACGUGGGUAAUCAACCCUCGGUACUGGGAUAGCCCGGGGAAACCCGGAUUAAUACCGGAUGGCCCUUCGGAUCUUCGGUUCCGAAGGAAAAGGUAGCUUCGGCCUCCGACCGAGGACGAGCCCGCGGCGGAUUAACUUGUUGGUGGGGUAACGGCCUACCAAGGCGACGAUCUGUAGCUGGUCUGAGAGGACGAUCAGCCACACUGGGACUGAGACACGGCCCAGACUCCUACGGGAGGCAGCAGUGGGGAAUCUUGCGCAAUGGUCUAACGACUGACGCAGCGACGCCGCGUGUGGGGGGACGCCUUUCGGGGUGUAAACCACUGUUGCCCGGGACGAACACCUCUUUUCGAAGAGGCUGACGGUACCGGGUGAGGAAGCACCGGCUAACUCCGUGCCAGCAGCCGCGGUAAUAC